Molecule: ribosomal RNA, 253 nt
Filed under: uncultured bacterium
Lineage: Bacteria
Description: partial 16S ribosomal RNA
Rfam family: Bacterial small subunit ribosomal RNA
Source: RNAcentral
UACGUAGGGGGCUAGCGUUGCUCGGAAUCACUGGGCGUUAAGGGUGCGUAGGCGGGUCUUUAAGUCAGGGGUGAAAUCCUGGAGCUCAACUCCAGAACUGCCUUUGAUACUGAAGAUCUUGAGUUCGGGAGAGGUGAGUGGAACUGCGAGUGUAGAGGUGAAAUUCGUAGAUAUUCGCAAGAACACCAGUGGCGAAGGCGGCUCACUGGCCCGAUACUGACGCUGAGGCACGAAAGCCAGGGGAGCGAACGGG